Molecule: long non-coding RNA, 3815 nt
Organism: Amphiprion ocellaris (clown anemonefish)
Lineage: Eukaryota; Metazoa; Chordata; Actinopteri; Pomacentridae
Exons: 3
Source: RefSeq, a predicted model, not a curated record
AGUGCACACGGCUCGGACUGUCAAAACCCAAAGUGGAUAAAGUUUGGGAGUCGGCUGGACUCAGACCUGGUGGUGAUCACAGCAUAAAAACAACAACUCUGCAGGCAGGUGUUGAGGAGGAGGGUUGAAGUUUCCUCGCCUUCGUCCUCGCCGUCCGUCGCUCUACGUGUCUUUGGGCUCCAGCUUGCAGGACAUGUCGAACAGCAAGUUCUGGUUGUCGAUGACCUGCAGCUGCCGGACGUAGGCCUUUGUCUGCAGGUGGGAGGGGGACGUCUCCGUAUCCAUGGCUACCAGCUGACUGCUCCUGUAGCGUCUGAUGAUCCUCACCAUCUCGGCCACUUUAUGCUGCAAAUAGACGAAACCACAGAAGAAGAAGGGAUUGAGACAGUCAGAGACGCUGUGUUUCUGGAGAUGUUUUGUGUCUCUUUGUGGUCAUUUGUUGGAUCUUUUUGUAGUCUAAAGUGUGUGUGGUCAGUUUGUGUAUCAGUCGCACAUUUAAACUCACCAUCUUCUCAAAGUUGACGAGUUCACCGUGAAACGUCUUGCAGCUUUCGUGAAGAAACGUCAAGUCUGUCAGAGAAAAGAGAUUCAGGUUUGUUAAAGUCAACACAAAUUGACACAAAUGGGAUCACACAGACAAAAGAACCAAAGCAAAAAUACACAGAAUGAGCAAAGAUAAAAACCCAAAAAACAAAAACACAGACAAAAACUUUCUGAAAAAAGACAAAAAAAACCCCAACAAAACAUGAAAAAUAAGACCAAAAACAGACUCAAAAUGACGGUAUUUUUCAGGUUGUUUUCCAUCAGUUCCUCUAUUUCACCACUAGGGGGCGUUGCUGUAAACUCUAUGUGUGUGUUUUAUCUUUUUGUUGUUUUGCUGCUUUGUAGGGUUUUUUUUUGAGGACAUUUAGUGUCUUUUUGUGGUUGUUUUUAACCAGCAGGAGGCACCACAGUGGCCAUAACAGCUGUCAUCCUGCUUUUCUAAAGAGGAAACCUCCACCCUCAGCUCUGUGUUACCAUGGAGACACAGAGCUGCACACACACAUUUGUACAUUUGUGUUUGUGUGUAUGCAGGUCAACAGUAGCUGAUUAGCCAGGGGUGCUAAUUAGCGAGGUGCAGCUAACGUCUCUGCAGCAGCUUCACAUCUGGUCCACAGCUGGAGUCUCAGAGGACCAAUCAGUGGCGGUUUAUCAAUAACCCCACAGACCAGAAUCUGAUCACCAGUUAAUGUUUAUUUCAGGAGACUCAAGGCUAGUUUCUGGUAGCAUCGCUAAGUUGGGUAAUCAGUGCAGGUAAAUAAAACCAAGCUGUCUGUUAAAGAAAACAAAAAACAGACGCAAAACUACCAAAGGAAGAUAAAAAUGAUCAAAAAGUCAUCAAAGCAAGACAUGAACUACCUAAAAUCUAAAAUCACGACUAACAAACUCUUCCUUAAACUUGAGUAAAUAACUAAGACCGGACUUGAGGUGUUUUGGCUGAGUUUGGCUAGAAUAAUAAGGUCAGAUCUGUAGAACUUAAACUUCCAGAUGUUGGUUCACCCUUGAGCAGCAGAGGAGUGAAGGGGAUCAGAGGAGGCCUCAGGCUGGUGAUCAGGUCUCUGUAGGACUUAUGGUUCCUGGACGGGUCCUAGAGAGCAGAAGAUCAAUACAACCUGAUCAGUACACACCUGAUCAAUAUAAACUUGAUCAAUACAACCUUGAUUAAUAUGAACUUGAUCAAUACACACUGGAUCAGUUUAACCUGAUUAAUACAACCCUGAUUAUUAUGAUCCUGAUCAAUACUAACUAUAUGAAUACAAACCUGAUCAAUACACAUCUGAUCGAUACAAAUCUGAUCAAUACAACCUGAUCAAUAUAACCCUGAUCAAUACAUACCUUAUCCAUACAACCUUAAUUAAUAUGAAUCUGAUUAAUAUGAAGCUGAUCAAUACACACCUGACCAGCUCUGAUCAAUGAUAGAUAAUGAUUAAUAAAACUCACCGCGAUGCUUUCAAACUGCUGGAACUGUUUCCUGAACUUCCCUGGUAGACCCUGAACAUAAGAUCAAUACGAUACCUGAUCAAUAACUGAUCAAUACAACAUAAAUAUGACAGACAACGAUCAUGGAUAUAUUGAUAUUUCUAUCACAGUUCACGUCACAAACAGAACUGAUAAAUAAUGUGGCCUAUUGAUCUGAAGAUAAUCAUUAUUAACGGAUCAGUAAAGAGACAAAAAAGAACCAAGAGGAAUGAAAAUAAAAACAACCAGACUGUAAACAGACAACGAGGUGGAAGAAAACGUUCUAAAAGUUGUUUUAAAUCUUUAUUUCCAGCUUCAUGUUUACUGAGGUCAGACGAACUUCUUACCUCCCAGGUGAGUCUCAGUCUGCUGACGGCCGGAUUGUCCAAACCCAGAACCACAGCCAGGAAGGAGAGCAGGUCCUGCUGCUGCUUACAGCUGGAAUACACAACAACACACAAUGUUACAGCACAACACAACAUCACACACAAUGUUACACACAAUGUUACAGCACAACACAACAUCACACACAAUGUUACACACAAUGUUACAGCACAACACAACAUCACACACAAUGUUACACAAUAACACAACGUUACAGAACACAACACACAUCACACAAUGUUACACAAUAACACAUUACACAACAUUACACAACAACACAACGCACACAACACACAACAAUGCACAAUGUUACACAAUAACACAACAUUACACAACAUUACACAACACAAUGUCACAACACACAACACAACAUUACACAGCAUUAAACAACAACACACACACACAACACAUUAAUGUUACACCACACACAACAGCACAUUACACAAUAACACAACGUUACACAACAACACACACCAUCACACAACAACAUAACAUUACAGAACAACAACAUCACACUGUGAACUGAACUCACAGCGCUGCGAUCUUGAUGAACUUGCGCAGCAGCUGGAUCCUCUUCGGCAGCGACUGACACUGCAGGAUCUCCGUGGCGACCCAGUGCUGCACCUCGCUGCAGCGCUGCAGUACCAGCUCUAGGUUCAGGGGGCGCCAGCGAGACUGUUCACCAUGAAACACGUAGCACACAAACUCCACCUGCAGGGACACCAACGAAGAAGAACAGCUGUUAAAGACAUGAACAACUAAAAAUAGGCGGAAAAUACCAACAAAUAAGACACAAAUCAUCAAAAACUGGCUGAAAGAAACACCAAAGAAAGUCACAAAUGACAAAAAAAGUAACCAAAAAAAGAUGACAGAACUACCAAAGAAAGACACAAACCACAAAAAAAUGCUCAAAAAAAUCCCCAAAACACUCCGAUAAACUACCACAAAUGACAAAAAUGAACUACAAAUGACCAAAAAGACACCAAACUACUUAAAAGACACAAAUGAUCAAGAAACAACCAGAAAUUACAAAUACUCUGAUAAAAAAACCCACAAAUGACGAGUGAAGUGAAACAGAUGACAAAACUAGGGAAGUGUGUGUGUGACCUCGUGCACGCAGCUGAACAGCUCCCAGUCAAAAACCACCAGCUGGUUAGAAACCUCCUCAGCUGACAUGUCGUGUAGUUUACUGUCUCCAGGACUCCAGUGAAUCUCUUCAGGCAGAGGCAACUGAUGGACGAAACACCGAUCUACUGUCAGCAUCGCAUUCUCUGGUUCCAUUAACAUGUCUGAUCAGUGACUGUUCAUAUCAAACUCUGGUUCCAUUAACAUGUCUGAUCAGUGACUGUUCAUAUCAAACUCUCUGGUUCCAUUAUUUAUUACUUUAAACGAAUUUUGAAUGACACCUAAAGAAUAAAGAUUAAAUAUUCAGA